ACUCAAAUGAAUUGACGGGGGCCCGCACAAGCGGUGGAGCAUGUUGUUUAAUACGUCACUAACCGUAGAACCUUACCAGGUCUUGACAUCUUCGGAACCCGGCUGAAAGGCCGGGGUGCCCUUCGGGGAGCCGAAAGACAGGUGUUGCAUGGCUGUCGUCAGCUCGUGUCGUGAGAUGUUGGGUUAAGUCCCGCAACGAGCGCAACCCUCAUCCUGUGUUGCUACCGGGUCAAGCCGGGCACUCUCAGGAAACUGCCCGUGCAAGCGGGAGGAAGGUGGGGAUGACGUCAAGUCAGCAUGGCCCUUACGACCUGGGCUACAAACAUGCUACAAUGGCGCGUACAGAGGGCAGCGAUACCGCGAGGUGGAGCCAAUCCCAAAAAGCGCGUCCCAGUUCGGAUCGGAGUCUGCAACUCGACUCCGUGAAGUCGGAAUCGCUAGUAACCGCAGGUCAGCGAUACUGCGGUGAAUACGUUCCCGGGCCUUGUACACACCGCCCGU
RNAcentral lists this ribosomal RNA (501 nucleotides) under uncultured bacterium. RNAcentral describes it as "bacterial SSU rRNA". It matches the Rfam family "Bacterial small subunit ribosomal RNA", at positions 899 to 1397 of the family's 1533-position model. The record is from RNAcentral.